This 468-nucleotide ribosomal RNA is filed under the name uncultured bacterium. RNAcentral describes it as "partial 16S ribosomal RNA". It matches the Rfam family "Bacterial small subunit ribosomal RNA", at positions 28 to 507 of the family's 1533-position model. The record is from RNAcentral.
GACGAACGCUGGCGGCGUGCUUAACACAUGCAAGUCGAACGGAAAGGCCCUGCUUUUGUGGGGUGCUCGAGUGGCGAACGGGUGAGUAACACGUGAGUAACCUGCCCUUGACUUUGGGAUAACUUCAGGAAACUGGGGCUAAUACCGGAUAGGAGCACCUGCUGCAUGGUGGGGGUUGGAAAGUUUCGGCGGUUGGGGAUGGACUCGCGGCUUAUCAGCUUGUUGGUGGGGUAGUGGCUUACCAAGGCUUUGACGGGUAGCCGGCCUGAGAGGGUGACCGGCCACAUUGGGACUGAGAUACGGCUCAGACUCCUACGGGAGGCAGCAGUGGGGAAUAUUGCACAAUGGGCGGAAGCCUGAUGCAGCAACGCCGCGUGCGGGAUGACGGCCUUCGGGUUGUAAACCGCUUUCGCCUGUGACGAAGCGUGAGUGACGGUAAUGGGUAAAGAAGCACCGGCUAACUACGUG